This 513-nucleotide ribosomal RNA is filed under the name uncultured bacterium. RNAcentral describes it as "bacterial SSU rRNA". It matches the Rfam family "Bacterial small subunit ribosomal RNA", at positions 28 to 515 of the family's 1533-position model. The record is from RNAcentral.
GAUGAACGCUGGCGGCGUGCUUAACACAUGCAAGUCGAACGGGACUAUUUUAGAUUGAGGCUUCGGCUGAUUGAAGAUUUAGUCUAGUGGCGGACGGGUGAGUAACGCGUGAGCAACCUGCCCUUCAGUGGGGGACAACAGCUGGAAACGGCUGCUAAUACCGCAUAUUGCAUAUUGGUCGCAUGGCCGAUAUGUGAAAGAUUUAUCGCUGAAGGAUGGGCUCGCGUCUGAUUAGCUAGUUGGUGGGGUAAUGGCCCACCAAGGCGACGAUCAGUAGCCGGACUGAGAGGUUGAACGGCCACAUUGGGACUGAGAUACGGCCCAGACUCCUACGGGAGGCAGCAGUGGGGAAUAUUGGGCAAUGGGCGCAAGCCUGACCCAGCAACGCCGCGUGAAGGAAGAAGGCUUUCGGGUUGUAAAGCACUUUCAGCGAGGAGGAAGGCCAAUAACUUAAUACGUUGUUGGAUUGACGUUACUCGCAGAAGAAGCACCGGCUAACUCCGUGCCAGCAGC